This is a long non-coding RNA of Rosa chinensis, 1112 nucleotides long. RefSeq lists it as uncharacterized. The transcript has 5 exons. The record is from RefSeq and is a predicted model, not a curated record. NCBI's taxonomy places the organism in Eukaryota, Viridiplantae, Streptophyta, Magnoliopsida, Rosales, Rosaceae.
UCAAUUUAUAUAAAUUUAGAGGUCAAUUUCUCAAGUCCUAUUCGGUUUCUGAUUGAAUCAGGCGAUAAUUGUCAAAUGCUUGAUGAACUGCUCCUUGUCUUUUGGGUCUUGAGGAAUCAAGUAACUGAGACCUAUUUACUUAUUAGGAUUGAUUUUCUGUAAACUAGUUGUCAAUGUAAAGUUGUCUUCGUUUUCAAAUUUGCUUUCUGUCCAAUUUUUGUUGGAUUCGGAUACUAUUUGGAUCCAUGUUUGUUUUGGUCAAACAGUAUUUCAAUUGCUUGUAUCGUUGAGUAUAUUUUUUAUUCUAAUUGAAAUGGGUAGGUGCUGUUUUCUUUGAUUUCUGCUUUCAUGAUUUGUGAUUUUCUCUUCUUUGUUCUGAGAAUCAAUUUGGAGGUUGAGAAAGUGUGGUUUUUUAGUCUAGUUUUAACUAAUUAAUUGAAAGAUUGAGGAACAUUCUCCCAUCUUUUUGUCUAAUUUGAUUUUUACAUUGUUUUGGGUGUCCUCAGGGGUUGUCAUGAACUUUUCACAUGAUAUGGAUGAUGAAUAUGAGAAAAUUUGCAGGAGAAUGAACCCACCAAGGGUUGUAGUUGAUAAUGAAGCCUGCAAGAAUGCUACGGUAAUAAGGUUGGGCUAUCGGCCGCUGACACAGUUGAUCAGGUGAAGUGUAAAACAAUUGCUAUCUGCCUGCAUGAAGAUCACCAAAGCCUGGUUCGAUUGAAACAACAAUCUAAUUUAAAAUAUGGUGUAAAAGUUGUGAAGUCAGAUGAACAGGUUCAUCUUGUUAAAAGGAUGAGCAAAUGUAAGCCGUCCAAACUGAAUUGAACAGCAUUGAAACUCGUAUCCACAAUCCUUUAGCAUUAAGAUGCCAAUAGCAGCACUUACUCAACUGGCACAGGAGCAAUCUCAACAGAUCCAAGAGUUGCCAUCAGUUGCAAUGGAAGGGUAUGUGUCUUUACUUGGACACUAGGAUGCGAAACUUUAGGAGAGUUUGUUUUUGAAGCAUAUUGCUGGUAUCUAUGAUUCAUCUCAUAAGUAAUUAUUAUGGACGUCUGGGAGAACAAUGACCCCUUGUAUGUUGCUCGUCAAUGAAUGAAAUCUGUGUAGGAGGCUAA